GUAUUGUUUUUAAAAGCUGAGUAAUCUCAAUGUUUACAUGCACAUAAUAUUGUCUUUAUCUCUUUGCUCAUAGAUGGCCAUUUAAGUUAUUUCUACAUCUUAGGUCUUCUGAAAGGCAUUGUAAUGAACAUAGAGUAAAGUCAGCUUUGGGAAGAAGGUGGAACUGUUAAUGCAGAAGAACCAUGGCACUGUGUGGCUGUAUUUUGUUAGUUUCCUUUAGAAGCCCUGUGAUGUUUCUCAGUGUGCAUUCCCACUAAGGUACACAAAGGCUCCAGUCACUUGAGCUCCAACCAAUGUCUGUUAUAUGUUUUACCUGUUUAGUAGCAGGAGAACCAAUUAACACCUGUAAUCACUUUUGUUGUAUGCAUGUGCUUAAAUCAAAGAUUAUCGUCGGCUCUACAGAUCUUUCAGUCUAGAUUGGAAUUGAAGGAAUAAAAGGAAGAGGAGGAGGAGGAAGAGGAAGAGGAAGAGGAAGAGGAAGAGGAGGAGAACAAGACAUGGAUCGAUAAAGCAGACAAGCAAGCUUAUCCAUACUGAGGGACUGAGUCCACAGAGGACAGAAUUGUCUGCAGCCUUGGAUCUGCUCCAUUACCCGAAGAACAGGGCUGAGAUGUCAAAGGGAAUCCUAACAAUUUCUAGAGUUCUAGUCUGUGACUGAAGAUGAAGCCCCAGUGUGAAGGGUUAAUGACCUAAAGCAUCCGGUAGACCGAGAGGCUCCCGAAGGAAAUCUGACUUGACUGAUAGCACCUGUGGAAGCAUCUAAUGAGGAGAUCCACGUGCCAAACCUGCUUGUAUCUACCACUUCCCGAUUGCAGUGGAAUAGACCUGCAGAUGGACUUUUCCCUCACUAAUUUUCUACCUUUUCUGUCCUAUGUGACUCCAAGCCUCCUAUGUACCACAGUCUCCGAUAGCAAUGAAGCCCUUCGGUUCUGAUUAACGGCACAGUUUUCCUUCUGGAGAUGCCCGUUAGCUUUCCUUCAAUUCUAUAUCAUCUCCAUCAAUACUGAUCUGACACAAUGCAUAUUUCUUAUUGUACCAGAGGAUCAUAGAAAUAGAAAGGAAACGGUGUAUCUGAAUUAUUAGGCUCUCUGACCUAUAGCCCAGUUACAACAGCAGUACAAAGUAGGGCCAGGGAUUUGUCAUCAAUUCAGUCUUCUCUCCUUAUUAGUAUAGCUAAGGUAUUACACAGUUCCAGAAGACUGUGAAUUUAUAGGAGAAAUAUCAAAACACCUGUGGUGGUUUGAAUAUUGUGGCCCUCACAGACUGAUGUGUUUGAAUGCUUGAC
Mus musculus (house mouse) is the source of this 1285-nucleotide long non-coding RNA. RefSeq annotates it as predicted gene, 30335. The transcript has 4 exons. The record is from RefSeq and is a predicted model, not a curated record. NCBI's taxonomy places the organism in Eukaryota, Metazoa, Chordata, Mammalia, Rodentia, Muridae.